This 497-nucleotide ribosomal RNA is filed under the name uncultured bacterium. RNAcentral's name for it is "partial 16S ribosomal RNA". It matches the Rfam family "Bacterial small subunit ribosomal RNA", at positions 28 to 507 of the family's 1533-position model. The record is from RNAcentral.
GACGAACGCUGGCGGCGUGCCUAAUACAUGCAAGUUGAGCGAUGAAGAUUGGUGCUUGCACCAAUUUGAAGAGCAGCGAACGGGUGAGUAACGCGUGGGGAAUCUGCCUUUGAGCGGGGGACAACAUUUGGAAACGAAUGCUAAUACCGCAUAACAACUUUAAGCAUAAGUUUUAAGUUUGAAAGAUGCAAUUGCAUCACUCAAAGAUGAUCCCGCGUUGUAUUAGCUAGUUGGUGAGGUAAAGGCUCACCAAGGCGAUGAUACAUAGCCGACCUGAGAGGGUGAUCGGCCACAUUGGGACUGAGACACGGCCCAAACUCCUACGGGAGGCAGCAGUAGGGAAUCUUCGGCAAUGGACGAAAGUCUGGCCGAGCAACGCCGCGUGAGUGAAGAAGGUUUUCGGAUCGUAAAACUCUGUUGGUAGAGAAGAACGUUGGUGAGAGUGGAAAGCUCAUCAAGUGACGGUAACUACCCAGAAAGGGACGGCUAACUACGUG